CCACACGACUCUCGGCAACGAAUAUCUCGGCUCUCGCAUCGAUGAAGAACGUAGCGAAAUGCGAUACCUGGUGUGAAUUGCAGAAUCCCGCGAACCAUCGAGUCUUUGAACGCAAGUUGCGCCCGAGGCCACUCGGCCGAGGGCACGCCUGCCUGGGCGUCACGC
Molecule: ribosomal RNA, 165 nt
Filed under: Pseudoroegneria tauri
Lineage: Eukaryota; Viridiplantae; Streptophyta; Magnoliopsida; Poales; Poaceae
Description: Elymus tauri 5.8S ribosomal RNA
Rfam family: 5.8S ribosomal RNA
About the family: 5.8S ribosomal RNA (5.8S rRNA) is a component of the large subunit of the eukaryotic ribosome.
Source: RNAcentral